GGGAAAGCCACAGGUUAGUUACCCAAGCUAUAGGAGAAAGAGUUCUUGGACCUCCAGGAAAGUGAAAUUGUUAUUCCAGAGCAGAUAGGAAAAGGAUACCUGCAUUUAUGAAAAAUUCAGGGCUUUUUUUCAGCUGGAACUCACCACAACUCAGUUCCAGAACCUUUCAGGUGAAUGUCACUGCCAUUCCAAGAGAACGAGGGAGUUGUUCAUGGUGAGUUCCGGCACCUCUUUUUCUACAAAAAUAGUGCUGCCAAAAUGUAUAUUAAUGCUACACUUUGAAUGUCAGCUUGCCACACUGUCUAUCAAAGCACAGGAUGUUAGAUAAUAUUCUGCUUUUCCUUACCAUAAUGUUUAGCAGUUUAAACCAACUAGUGUUUAAUAGGGAUGCACUGUUAAACAUAACUGAAUGUUAAAACGCUGUUGUUAAUUUAUGACUCCUUAUUUUCCUCUGUAGGGAGAAAGCCUAAGAAAAGAGAAAAAUCACUCGAGG
This is a non-coding RNA of Podarcis lilfordi (Lilford's wall lizard), 493 nucleotides long. NCBI's taxonomy places the organism in Eukaryota, Metazoa, Chordata, Lepidosauria, Squamata, Lacertidae. The record is from the annotation of a GenBank genome assembly.